AGUGCACUCCACUGCAUCCUGGGCCUCGAGAUCUUCUCCGGCAAGACCAGGGGAGCUUCCAUGGCAAGAAACAUGGUCAAUGACUCCAGAGUGACGUGGAGCUCCAGGCCAAGGUAACGAGCAAAUUCUUCUUCGAGGUUGAGAUCGGCGGGAAGCGCGUGGGCAAGGUGGUCAUCGGGCUCUUCGGCGAGGUCGUCCCAAAGAUGAUUGACAACUUCCGUGCCCUGUGCACUGGAGAAAAAGGGGAUGUAUACAAGGGCUGCUUCUUCCACCGAAUCAUCAAAGGAUUUCAUGAUUCAGGGUGGGGAUUUUGCAGGAAAACAAUGUCUGAAGAGCAUUAGUGGCCUCUGUUCAGCCUUUUCUCUUCAUCUAUUCUGCAGCCGCUGUUGGUGGACAACGGCGGCCUCAGGUGGUGCAUGGUGGGUCCUGCCAAGUCACCGACACGAUUUCUCCCACGCAGGUGACUGGCGGCUGGGCAACGCCUCGGCCAUUGAGCCGAAGGUGGCUGAGCGCCAGAGCUCCCAGCUUAGGAAGACGAUGCGACGGGAUGGCGCAGCACCACGGCCUUCAGCACCCUUGCCGUUAGCAGCCUGCCCCAGUCAUAAGUCCUCU
Lolium perenne is the source of this 612-nucleotide non-coding RNA. The record is from RefSeq and is a predicted model, not a curated record. NCBI's taxonomy places the organism in Eukaryota, Viridiplantae, Streptophyta, Magnoliopsida, Poales, Poaceae.